GAACUUUCCUUGUCGCCAGAAAAAAUGUUUUCCGACAACCUUGCGGAGCAGUUUUCGUGGAGAGGAACUAACACUAUGCAAUGCAUUCGUGGAUGCCGUAUAACUUUGGCUAUUCGACAUGCUUUUAAGAACAAAUUUGCCCUGGAAGACGAGGAUUUUGAUAAAAUAACUCAAAAGCAUUUCCAGUACGCCCAUGACAGGCUGACAAAAUGUUCCAAAUACGCUUCCAAAAAAACAAAACAUGACAACGAGCAGCUACCACCUUAAACGUAUACUAUUUAUAAAUAAAUAUUAUUAAACUAACACUAUUUACUAAUAAAUUUAUGUAUGCAUUUAUUAAUUUAUUUUUUAUUAUAAGAUAUUUUUACAUAAAAUGUAAUGAAUAAAUAUGAAAUUAAUUGUUAAGUUUUUUAAAGUAA
Long non-coding RNA from Calliphora vicina (urban bluebottle blowfly), 419 nucleotides. RefSeq lists it as uncharacterized. NCBI's taxonomy places the organism in Eukaryota, Metazoa, Arthropoda, Insecta, Diptera, Calliphoridae. The transcript has 2 exons. The record is from RefSeq and is a predicted model, not a curated record.